RNAcentral lists this ribosomal RNA (832 nucleotides) under Pristimantis jaguensis. RNAcentral describes it as "partial 16S ribosomal RNA". It matches the Rfam family "Bacterial large subunit ribosomal RNA", at positions 1539 to 2602 of the family's 2925-position model. Lineage: Eukaryota; Metazoa; Chordata; Amphibia; Anura; Strabomantidae. The record is from RNAcentral.
AACCCUUUAAUUGUACUGAGAACUUCUAUACUAUAUAGAAUUUUUUAUGCUAAAACUAGUAACAAGAGAUACCCCUCUCCCUAGUGUAAAUGUAAGUCAGCAAGAACCCAUCACUGACAACUAACAGAUUUAAACAAAAGUAGUAACUCCACAAGAAAACCCCACUUUUUCUCCUGUUAACCUAACACAAGAACACUUCAAGAAAGAUUAAAAGAAAAAGAAGGAACUCGGCAAAACCUAGCCCCGCCUGUUUACCAAAAACAUCGCCUCUUGAUUACCUCUAUAAGAGGUCUUGCCUGCCCAGUGACUCUGUUCAACGGCCGCGGUACCCUAACCGUGCGAAGGUAGCGUAAUCACUUGUUUUCUAAAUAAAGACCAGUAUGAAAGGCGUCACGAGGGUUAAACUGUCUCCUCUUUCUAAUCAGUGAACCUAAUCUUCCCGUGAAGAAGCGGGAAUUACCCCAUAAGACGAGAAGACCCUGUGGAGCUUAAAACAUCAUAACACUGCUAACAAAUACCAAUAUUCAGAUACCCCCUCCCUCAAAGCACGAUGAUUAUAAGUUUUUGGUUGGGGUGACCGCGGAGAAAAAUUAAACCUCCACUAUGAAAAGAGCCCUCCUUAACAAUAAGCUACAACCUUAUGUAUCAACAAAUUGACAUUAUUGACCCAACAAAUUGAUCAACGAACCAAGUUACCCCAGGGAUAACAGCGCAAUCCACUUUGAGAGCUCUUAUCGACAAGUGGGCUUACGACCUCGAUGUUGGAUCGGGAUAUCCUAGUGGUGCAGCCGCUACUUAAGGUUCGUUUGUUCAACGAAUAAAAUCCUACGUG